CCUACGGGAGGCAGCAGUAGGGAAUUUUCGUCAAUGGGCGCAAGCCUGAACGCGCAAUGCCGCGUGAACGAGGAAGGUCUUCGGAUCGUACAGUUCUGUUGACGGGGAAAAAGAGCGUAGAGAGGAAAUGUUUUCUGAUUGAUAUUACCCUUCGAGGAAGUCACGGCUAACUACGUGCCAGCAGCCGCGGGAAUACGUAGGUGGCGAGCGUUAGCCGGAAUGUUUGGGCGUAAAGGGUGCGUAGGCGGCCUGCUAGGUCUGGGGUGAAAGGUACCGGCUCAACCGGUAAAUGCUCUGGAAACUGGCGGGCUAGAGAGCAGGAGAGGGUGGUGGAACUCCAUGUGUAGCGGUAAAAUGCGUAGAUAUAUGGAAGAACACCAGUGGCGAAGGCGGCCGCCUGGCCUGUUACUGACGCUGAGGCACGAAAGCGUGGGGAGCAAAUAGGAUUAGAUACCCCGGUAGUC
This 464-nucleotide ribosomal RNA is filed under the name uncultured bacterium. RNAcentral's name for it is "partial 16S ribosomal RNA". It matches the Rfam family "Bacterial small subunit ribosomal RNA", at positions 338 to 795 of the family's 1533-position model. The record is from RNAcentral.